RNAcentral lists this ribosomal RNA (1585 nucleotides) under Salmonella enterica. RNAcentral describes it as "partial 23S ribosomal RNA". It matches the Rfam family "Bacterial large subunit ribosomal RNA", at positions 1 to 1495 of the family's 2925-position model. Lineage: Bacteria; Pseudomonadati; Pseudomonadota; Gammaproteobacteria; Enterobacterales; Enterobacteriaceae. The record is from RNAcentral. RNAcentral also lists the same sequence under 1 other name.
UAAGCGACUAAGCGUACACGGUGGAUGCCCUGGCAGUCAGAGGCGAUGAAGGGCGUGCUAAUCUGCGAUAAGCGCCGGUAAGGUGAUAUGAACCGUUAUAACCGGCGAUACCCGAAUGGGGAAACCCAGUGUGACUCGUCACACUAUCAUUAACUGAAUCCAUAGGUUAAUGAGGCGAACCGGGGGAACUGAAACAUCUAAGUACCCCGAGGAAAAGAAAUCAACCGAGAUUCCCCCAGUAGCGGCGAGCGAACGGGGAGGAGCCCAGAGCCUGAAUCAGCAUGUGUGUUAGUGGAAGCGUCUGGAAAGGCGCGCGAUACAGGGUGACAGCCCCGUACACAAAAGCGCAUGUGCUGUGAGCUCGAUGAGUAGGGCGGGACACGUGGUAUCCUGUCUGAAUAUGGGGGGACCAUCCUCCAAGGCUAAAUACUCCUGACUGACCGAUAGUGAACCAGUACCGUGAGGGAAAGGCGAAAAGAACCCCGGCGAGGGGAGUGAAAAAGAACCUGAAACCGUGUACGUACAAGCAGUGGGAGCCCCACCACCAAAGCAUUUGCUGUACCGCGUUGACGGAGCGAAGCGACGUCAAACCGAUAAAACAGCAGUGUAAAGUGAGCCGCAGGGCGCUUUGCGCGACAGCGCAAAGGCAGGCGGUUUCGCGUAGCGAAAGCGAAUGCUUUGGGGUGGGGUGACUGCGUACCUUUUGUAUAAUGGGUCAGCGACUUAUAUUCUGUAGCAAGGUUAACCGAAUAGGGGAGCCGGAGGGAAACCGAGUCUUAAUUGGGCGUUAAGUUGCAGGGUAUAGACCCGAAACCCGGUGAUCUAGCCAUGGGCAGGUUGAAGGUUGGGUAACACUAACUGGAGGACCGAACCGACUAAUGUUGAAAAAUUAGCGGAUGACCUGUGGCUGGGGGUGAAAGGCCAAUCAAACCGGGAGAUAGCUGGUUCUCCCCGAAAGCUAUUUAGGUAGCGCCUCGUGAAUUCAUCUCCGGGGGUAGAGCACUGUUUCGGCUAGGGGGCCAUCCCGGCUUACCAACCCGAUGCAAACUGCGAAUACCGGAGAAUGUUAUCACGGGAGACACACGGCGGGUGCUAACGUCCGUCGUGAAGAGGGAAACAACCCAGACCGCCAGCUAAGGUCCCAAAGUCAUGGUUAAGUGGGAAACGAUGUGGGAAGGCCCAGACAGCCAGGAUGUUGGCUUAGAAGCAGCCAUCAUUUAAAGAAAGCGUAAUAGCUCACUGGUCGAGUCGGCCUGCGCGGAAGAUGUAACGGGGCUAAACCAUGCACCGAAGCUGCGGCAGCGACACUGUGUGUUGUUGGGUAGGGGAGCGUUCUGUAAGCCUGUGAAGGUGUGUCGUGAGGCAUGCUGGAGGUAUCAGAAGUGCGAAUGCUGACAUAAGUAACGAUAAAGCGGGUGAAAAGCCCGCUCGCCGGAAGACCAAGGGUUCCUGUCCAACGUUAAUCGGGGCAGGGUGAGUCGACCCCUAAGGCGAGGCCGAAAGGCGUAGUCGAUGGGAAACGGGUUAAUAUUCCCGUACUUGGUGUUACUGCGAAGGGGGGACGGAGAAGGCUAUGUUGGCCGGG